AGCGUGUCUGAAACAACGCAGA
RNAcentral lists this non-coding RNA (22 nucleotides) under Arabidopsis thaliana (thale cress). Lineage: Eukaryota; Viridiplantae; Streptophyta; Magnoliopsida; Brassicales; Brassicaceae. The record is from RNAcentral.